CGGAGUAGCAGUGGCCGCGACGAAGGUGGGGCUGGGAGGUGCAGUAGCCUAAACGGCAGGCGCGGCGGCGGCGGGAAUUAGCAACGCAGCAGCAGCAGCAGCGACCGCGGUGGGGUUGGGAGGUGCAGUAGCCUAAACGGCAGGCGCAGCAGCGGCGGGAAAUAGAGACAGCAGCAGGCGCGGCGGUGGCAGGAAUUAGCAACGGAGUAGCAGCGGCCGCGACGAAGGUGGGGCUGGGAGGUGCAUUAGUCUGAACAACAGGCGCGGCGGCGGCGGGAAAUAGCAACAGCAGCAGGCGCGGCGGUGGUGGGAAUUAGCAACGGAGUAGCAGCGGCAGCGACGGUUAAGGGGCUGGGAGGUGCAUUAGUCUGAACAACAGGCGCGGCAGCGGCGGGAAAUAGCAACAGCAGCAGGCGCGGCGGCGGCGGGAAUUAGCAACGGAGUAGCAGCGGCAGCGAUGAAGGUGGGGCUGGGAGGUGCAAUUGUCUGAACAACAGGCGCGGUGGCGGCGGGAAAUAGCAACAGCAGCAGGCGCGGCGGCGGUGGGAAUUAGCAACGGAGUAGCAGCGGCAGCCACGGCGGUGGGGCUGGGAGGUGCAUUAGUGAGGGCCUUUAUUUUACAAAAAUGGGCGACAUCCAAUUGGCCAUCCAAUCUUUUCUCUCUUCACUCUCUUCCAAGUGAUGUAGCCACAGAGAACAUACAAUCACUAUUUUGGUAUUGCUGUGGCUGCCAGUUCAACUCUGGCAUGGAAGUCAUUUUCCUUACUCUGACUAUAUACCUACUACUAUUAUACUAAAGGGUAGUACCAGUGCUACUAUAUACAUACAAGUAUGGCAGGCGGCUGGCAGAAGUUAAGGCCUGACUUCUGCUCCCAGUCGAUCCAGUCGACCCGGGUUCAAAUCCGCCUGCCAG
RNAcentral lists this long non-coding RNA (913 nucleotides) under Volvox carteri. Its description in RNAcentral is "long non-coding RNA (VCAR_LNC004323)". Lineage: Eukaryota; Viridiplantae; Chlorophyta; Chlorophyceae; Chlamydomonadales; Volvocaceae. The record is from RNAcentral.